RNAcentral lists this ribosomal RNA (506 nucleotides) under uncultured bacterium. Its description in RNAcentral is "partial 16S ribosomal RNA". It matches the Rfam family "Bacterial small subunit ribosomal RNA", at positions 30 to 523 of the family's 1533-position model. The record is from RNAcentral.
AUUGAACGCUGGCGGCAGGCCUAACACAUGCAAGUCGAACGGCAGCGGGGGAUAGCUUGCUAUCCUGCCGGCGAGUGGCGGACGGGUGAGUAAUGCAUGGGGAGCUGCCCAGUCGAGGGGGAUAACAACUGGAAACGGUUGCUAAUACCGCAUACGCCCUUUGGGGGAAAGGUGGGGAACUUCGGUCCUACCGCGAUUGGAUGCGCCCAUGUGGGAUUAGCUAGUUGGUGAGGUAACGUCUCACCAAGGCGACGAUCUCUACCUGGUCUGAGAGGAUGACCAGCGACACUGGAACUGAGACCGGGUCCAGAUUCCUACGGGGGGCAGCGGUGGGGAAUAUUGCACAAUGGUGGAACCCCUGAUGCAGCCAUGCCGCGCGUGUGAAGAAGGCCUUCGGGUUGUAAAGCACUUUCAGUCAGGAGGAAGGGGUGAUGGCUAAUAUCCAUCAUCAUUGACGUUACUGACGGAAGAAGCACCGGCUAACUCCGUGCCAGCAGCCGCCGUAA